Molecule: ribosomal RNA, 732 nt
Filed under: uncultured archaeon
Lineage: Archaea
Description: bacterial SSU rRNA
Rfam family: Archaeal small subunit ribosomal RNA
Source: RNAcentral
UCUGGACUCGCCGAACUGCUCAGUAACACGUAGCUAACCUGCCCUAAAGAGGAGGAUAAUCCUGGGAAACUGGGGAUAAUACUCCAUAGUUGUCUGGUACUGGAAUGUCCUUACAACCAAAGCUCCGGCGCUUUAGGAUGGGGCUGCGGCCUAUCAUGGCAGUUGUGAGUGUAAAGUACUCACAAACCUGUAACGGGUAAGGGUCAUGAAAGUGAGAGCCCUGAGAUGCUUUCUGAGACAUGAAAGCAGGUCCUACGGGACGCAGCAAGCGCGAAACCUUUCCAAUGGCUUAGCGGUCGAGAAGGGAAUCCUGAGUGACUAUACUUAGUAUAGUCUUUUGUUCUGUCUAAACAGCAGGACGAAUAAGUGGUGGGUAAGACUGGUGUCAGCCGCCGCGGUAAUACCAGCCCCCUGAGUGGUAAGGACGAUUAUUUGGCCUAAAGCGUUCGUAGCCGGCUUAUCAAGUCUUUUGUUAAAUCCAACGAUGCAAUCGUUGGGCCGCAAAAGAUACUGUUAUGCUAGAGGACGGGAGAGGUCGACGGUAGUCCAGGGGUAGGGGUGAAAUCCUAUAAUCCUUGGAGGACCACCAGUGGCGAAGGCGGUCGACUAGAACGUGCCUGACGGUGAGGGACGAAAGCUGGGGGAGCGAACCGGAUUAGAUACCCGGGUAGUCCCAGCUGUAAACGAUGCGGGCUAGGUGUUGGGGCAGCCACGAGCUGCUCCAGUGCCGCA